AGCGGGUGUGGGACUGCGCGAAAUCCGGGGCGGGUUAGGAUUAGGGAAAGGUAAAGAGAGGAGAGGAGGCCGAAAGUAGAAAAGUAGGCCCAAGAGAAAUUGAGCAGUAAAAGAGCCUUUGGUUUAUGAAAUAAAGUAAAACAAAAGUCUGGACUGUGGUCUCCUGAUUCCUGGAGGGCAGUUUGAGUGACAGAGGACAGAAAUAAAGGAGGCAAAAUAUGAGCAGUGGUGGUCAUUCGCCAGAUGAACGAGACAGCCGAUAAAAACGAGAAAUUUAGAGAUUGGCAGAGUGGUCAGAAAAACAAAUUUAGAGCGGCGCGUGCUCUGCGGCCAGGAAUAGGGAAGGGGAUGUGUGCGCUUGAGACACAGAGCUGCUGCAAGAAAGGAAGCCUCCACUGACCCUGGCACUUGCUGCUGUGUAUCUGAAGCCUUGGUGACUAGUAGUUUGGAAGGCCUUGGGCCUCAGGGCAGGCAAGGAGAUCCCAGUUCCUCUGCUGUCUCUUAGAUGUUCCCUUCACAAACCUACCAAAAGAAGGGGGCUGCCAACCAAUGUCAUCACUCGACCUGUCACAAGAAGAGGGCAUUUGCUCUCAGUCAGACUGCUCGUUCUGGUGCCUCCUUCUUCAGUGGCUGGCACUGCAGCCUGGCAGUCAUUGCAACAUUUAGCACCCACAUCUGGCCUUAUUGGAAAAUCAGGCUUCUCUUAUCCUGGUUUCCUGGACUGGGAUAUUCUUCACUAACUUUCUCCUGAAGUCUUCAACAUUUUAUCAACCUUCCUGGAGCAUCUACCGAGUGUUGCACAAGGUGGGAAUCAAGGACCAUUAAGAAACCAUCUCUGCCUUCAAGCAACGUCUUCAACCAUUUUCCUAAUUCAAAGCACUGUGAAAGCAUCAGUUAACCCUGUGUUUGCCAUCUCUACUGAUGGAGAAAGGACAAACCAACUUGGUCCCCAUCUUAUCAUUAGAGAGCCUGAGAUUCACCUUUAUCCAUGCAAGACGUCCAGUUAGGACAGUAGAGAGGUGGACUUUGGAAUUUGAGGAACGUUGGUCCUAUCCCAGAAGCCAAGCCAGCACACCGUGACCUGCAACAGCUUAGCUUCCUGGAUAUCUAAGCAAAGGCAGAGAGGAAACUUGGGGUUAGGGAUUUUGGGCAGCUGAGGGCAGGGACCCCAGCAGAACAUCCUCUUAUCUCUAAGCGACUGUUACAGCCCAAUUUCCCCCCCUGGGGGAUCUGCCCCAGGGUCUGUCUACAGCAGAGUGAUCUAAGGCGUUAGGCCUGAAUUGUGUUUGAGACUUUAAAGAGGCUCACAGGUUCUUUUAAGCAGCAGGCUUAAUUGUUGUCUGUAAUUGAUGUGACAUAUGCCCCAGAGGCAUGCACUGAGGUCCAAUCGAAGACAUGGUUUUUAAAAAAUCGGAAUUAAUUAAUUAAAGAAGGAGCUACAUGGGGCUGUGAGUUAGUGCCAAACCCUGUAACCCUAAACCAGCCAACCCACCCAACCGGCCUCACCACCUGAGGAAUAAUCCCGAAGUUCUCACGGAGGUGGGAUCAGAGACCUGGGAUGCAGUGCAGGAAAUGGAGGCUGCAAGGGGGAAGGGUGGGGCUCAGGGUGGCUCUCUCAGCUUUCACGAUCUCUAAAAGGCUUGGCUCUGGGCAACUGUUUGGGUGCAAAAAGAAACGUUUUGGGAGCUAGGAAAUUGCGGAAAAGGGAAUGCUAUGACAAAGGAGAGUCUCUGAAAUGGUGCUUAAAAAGGGUGAACACAGAAAUGUAGAAGUCAGCCACCACAAGAUGUCUAACCAAUUUUGAUGUGAAAACUCAAGUCC
This is a long non-coding RNA of Equus asinus (donkey), 1821 nucleotides long. The record is from Ensembl. NCBI's taxonomy places the organism in Eukaryota, Metazoa, Chordata, Mammalia, Perissodactyla, Equidae.